This 452-nucleotide ribosomal RNA is filed under the name uncultured bacterium. RNAcentral's name for it is "bacterial SSU rRNA". It matches the Rfam family "Bacterial small subunit ribosomal RNA", at positions 340 to 786 of the family's 1533-position model. The record is from RNAcentral.
UACGGGAGGCAGCGGUGGGGAAUAUUGCACAAUGGGCGCAAGCCUGAUGCAGCCAUGCCGCGUGUAUGAAAAAGGCCUUCGGGUUGUAAAGUACUUUCAGUCGUGAGGAAGGUGUUAAGGUUAAUAACCUUAGCAAUUGACGUUAGCGACAGAAGAAGCACCGGCUAACUCCGUGCCAGCAGCCGCGGUAAUACGGAGGGUGCGAGCGUUAAUCGGAAUUACUGGGCGUAAAGGGCACGCAGGCGGUUAAUUAAGUUGGAUGUGAAAUCCCCGGGCUUAACCUGGGAAUGGCAUUCAAGACUGGUUAGCUAGAGUCUUGUAGAGGGGGUAGAAUUCCAUGUGUAGCGGUGAAAUGCGUAGAGAUGUGGAGGAAUACCGGUGGCGAAGGCGGCCCCUGGACAAGACUGACGCUCAUGUGCGAAAGCGUGGGGAGCAAACAGGGAUUAGAUACC